Molecule: long non-coding RNA, 283 nt
Organism: Ziziphus jujuba (common jujube)
Lineage: Eukaryota; Viridiplantae; Streptophyta; Magnoliopsida; Rosales; Rhamnaceae
Exons: 2
Source: RefSeq, a predicted model, not a curated record
AAUUUUAAGACAUUGGAGUGAUGAGAGGUUGCCCAUAGCUUCUGGCAAUGAAUUCAAAUUGAGGCACUCAUAAAUAACAAGAGAUUGGAGUGAUGAGAGGUUGCCGAUAGAUUCUGGCAAUAACGUCAAAUUGGGGCAACCCCUAAUCUGAAGAGAUCGGAGAGAUGAUGAGAGGUUGCCGAUAGAUUCUGGCAAUGACGUCAAAUUGGGGCAACUGCUAAUCUGAAGAGAUUGGAGAGAUGAGAGGUAGGCCACACCUUCUUGUGGAAGAGAUUGUAGGUCA